This 253-nucleotide ribosomal RNA is filed under the name uncultured bacterium. RNAcentral describes it as "partial 16S ribosomal RNA". It matches the Rfam family "Bacterial small subunit ribosomal RNA", at positions 524 to 776 of the family's 1533-position model. The record is from RNAcentral.
UACGGGGGGGGCAAGCGUUGUUCGGAAUUACUGGGCGUAAAGGGCUCGUAGGUGGCCAACUAAGUCGGACGUGAAAUCCCUCGGCUUAACCGGGGAACUGCGUCCGAUACUGGCGGGCUUGAAUUCGGGAGAGGGAUGUGGAAAUCCAGGUGUAGCGGUGAAAUGCGUAGAUAUCGGGAGGAACAUCAGUGGCGAAGGCGGCUACCUGGCCCAAUACUGACACUCAGGUGCGACAGCGUGGGGAGCAAACAGG